RNAcentral lists this ribosomal RNA (466 nucleotides) under uncultured bacterium. RNAcentral's name for it is "partial 16S ribosomal RNA". It matches the Rfam family "Bacterial small subunit ribosomal RNA", at positions 28 to 507 of the family's 1533-position model. The record is from RNAcentral.
GACGAACGCUGGCGGCGCGCCUAACACAUGCAAGUCGAACGAGCGAGAGAGAGCUUGCUUUCUCGAGCGAGUGGCGAACGGGUGAGUAACGCGUGAGGAACCUGCCUCAAAGAGGGGGACAACAGUUGGAAACGACUGCUAAUACCGCAUAAGCCCACGUCUCGGCAUCGAGCAGGGGGAAAAGGAGCAAUCCGCUUUGAGAUGGCCUCGCGUCCGAUUAGCUAGUUGGUGGGGUAACGGCCCACCAAGGCGACGAUCGGUAGCCGGACCGAGAGGUUGAACGGCCACAUUGGGGCUGAGACGCGGCCCAGACUCCUACGGGAGGCAGGAGUGGGGGAUAUUGCACAAUGGGGGAAACGCUGAUGCAGCGACGACGGGUGGAGGAAGAAGGUCUGCGGAUUGUAAAGUCCUGUUGUUGGGGAAGAUAAUGACGGUACCCAACAAGGAAGUGACGGCUAACUACGUG